UACAGAGGGUGCGAGCGUUAAUCGGAAUUACUGGGCGUAAAGCGUGCGUAGACGGUUAUUUAAGUCGGGUGUGAAAGCCCCGGGCUCAACCUGGGAAUUGCAUUCGAGACUGAAUAGCUAGGGUACGGUAGAGGGAAGUGGAAUUUCCGGUGUAGUGGUGAAAUGCGUAGAGAUCAGGCGGAACACCCGUAGCGAAGGCGGCCAGCUGGGCCGUCCCUGACACUGAGGCGCGAAGGCGUGGGGAGCGAACGGG
RNAcentral lists this ribosomal RNA (253 nucleotides) under uncultured bacterium. RNAcentral's name for it is "partial 16S ribosomal RNA". It matches the Rfam family "Bacterial small subunit ribosomal RNA", at positions 524 to 776 of the family's 1533-position model. The record is from RNAcentral.